Long non-coding RNA from Anguilla anguilla (European eel), 9359 nucleotides. RefSeq lists it as uncharacterized. The record is from RefSeq and is a predicted model, not a curated record. Lineage: Eukaryota; Metazoa; Chordata; Actinopteri; Anguilliformes; Anguillidae. The transcript has 2 exons.
GCUAAGCACUUUGGAUUGUAUGAGGCGCGGCGCGGUGGGACGGACGGACGAAACGGACGGACGCGCACGCACAGGACCGCUGGAAGCGUUGGGCGUCGAACCCGAGACCGCGCCGGAGCGAUUCGCGGAGACGGCCGCCUCGCGGACUCUCGAGCGGAGCCGGCGGGGGGAGGCGGUGGAGCCCGAGGCCUGCGCUCGUUUCUGAUUGGCUUUUCGUUUCCUCCAGCUUUUCGUUCGUUAAGAUUCAUUUUGAGACAACUUCAAAGCACCAUCAUCUCCCGACGUAGUUUCUUUGUUGUUUUUCACGUGGUUUUGGCGCUCGGGAGGGACGGGGAAGAAGGUGUGGGACUGUGACGGGUGUGAUCGAGCUUCGGUGCUGCGAGUUUGAGGCGAUCCUUGCAGGCGUCCCCUGUACCCGACUCCUGGGGGGUACGGCUUGGGGGGGAUCCGGAAGAGAGGAUGCUGGAACACAGGAAGGGUCUUGGGUGCUGUUUUUUGUUUUGUUUCUGAAGAACAUGAGGACAGAUCGAGUUGAGAAUCGGUCUGCUCGUGGGAUCCUCCUCCGUAUCCCGCCUUGGACUUCCUGUCCCUCGUCUGGAGUCCAUAGCCUCACACGCGUGCGAGCCGCAGUCCCGCACACUGGCGUUUCCCCACACCGUGGCCCCUCCAGCGCGUACCCAGCCCGGCAACCAUUAGUAUUCACUGCGCGCCUGCCAAAUGUCUUUUCCUUUAGCUUACCAAACAUUGAAUGAGAUUUUAAUUUGCUUCUGACGGGCAGGUUAUAGAACUCCUAGGCUAUAGAACAGCCGUAACCUUGGCUUCAGAGGGCUGCAGGGCUUCACGAGUGCGUCAGUGUUUUUGGCUGCAGAGCUGUCAAUCACAACGAGAACGAACAUGCCAGUUGACCUCCUGCAAUCGUUUACGAGGUGAAAGGGGAGGCGAUUAGAUAUACAAGCAAUAGUGUGAUGAUGAAAGCCAGUCAGAGAAUGUUUGUUGGGUGAACUUGCUUUUGAAAGGGUCGCUCUUUAUCGAUAACCCCAGCAAGACACCACCCCAAGAGACAAUCCAGCUCUGGGGUGGGGGCAGUCAGUGUGGAGCAGCCAAUCACUGUAGAUUACCUGUUUACCGAUUGGUCCUGUAACAUGUCAUCCACACUCGGCACCUCUACAGUGGUGAAUGACGAGGGGGAACCUUACCACCUUACUCCGCCUCUCCAGCGACACCCUCUCCAGUUAAUGGGCCAUUCUGGGGCUACGGCCUCUAGCGCGUUGUUAAAAUAGAAAUUGAAUGAAUGGGAAAAUAUACACAUAUAAAUAUGUAAUAUUUAAAAUAAAUAUAUAUCUUUGAAUAGUGGCUCAGAAUAGUGGUCACUAGAGAGUUUUUUUUUUGUGUUACUCUUUUAUUUUUUAAGUCUGAGGAAGAAAAGGAAGGAAAGACAAAGAAGAAGAAAGCCCCUGAACGAGCCGGUUUUUGAUAUUCGAGCUGUCUGUUUGCUGAUGGCCGAGCUGGAGGUAUAGAGCUUUUGAGAGGAGCCGGGGGUCUUGUGGGUACGCCGCAGAGGUGCGUCCGUUUUCCCCUUCCCGUCAGUGCCGUCGGCACCGCGUUUUCUGUUCUGUUAAUUCUCAUUUUGUGUUAUGAGCAGUCGCUCAGUAUGUGACAAUUGAAUUGCUGUAGGAUAAUCACAGAUUAGGAGAGCUGGUCCAGGUGAGCAAAGUCCGAGCACCUGCAAUCUUACACGAGCAGCCCACGCACCGAGAGGAGAAGCGGGGGUCUGAAUAUGUGUAUAACUCCAUCCCCCAUCCCAGGAGACCCUUUGUGUGUGUGUGUGUGUGUGUGAGUGAGAGUGUUUGGGGGGGUGGGGCUUCUUUGCUGCUCCAGGAAUGGCCUGAAUUUAUUUGUUGUUUUUGGAAAGCAGUUAAGUAUUGGGUUGUACAGUGAGAGGCGUUCAGCUGGGCUAAUUUAGAAAGUUCAAAGAUUUAUGUUGAUGACCACCCCAACCCAUGACUCGGAAGCACACAUUCACCUGUGCGAAACAGCACCCCCACCCCCCACCCCCCUCUUUUUCGCCGCAUUUCGACUGAGCCAUAGCUGCGUGAUUUACAAAUGUUUUAAAAGGGAAAAGUAUAUAUAAUUCCCAGGUACAGGGUAGGCCCAACAGUUGGAGGGCAUUUUGUGUCCCAUAAGGCCACAGUAGUCCUGGCUUCUAUUCAGGUGCGAGUGGGUUAGCAUUGCUGCUAGUGAGGUCAGAGCAAGCUUUCCGUCAGCAGGUCAGCCGGUAGCCGAUAAUCCUAUAUCCGUUAGAUUACUAAAGUAGUACAGGCGUUGGCCCAAAUGUGAGAUUGGAGCGGCCUGCGCUCACUGCCGCAGAAGACCCGCGUGGUUAACGUGAAACAGAAGCGUCCGGCGUUACCGCAGUAUUAUGGCCGAUGGCAGUUGAGACUGCGUUUCUUGGUUCCGUGAGCAAGGGCUGGAGUGGGGAAGUGCGCGGUACAUACGCAGAGUCUGGAGGACUCUUCCGCCACGCGCGGCUCUUCUGGGCUCGGAUUUAGCCGUCUGCUGAUUUCUUCUGAUUUACUUGAUUUAGAACACUGCCGUUCUCAAGAUUCCGUCGAGGAUCCCUGCCAUUGGUCGGCAAUCGGGGGUUGCUGGGUCUGUCUGAGAGAGGGGGGGUGGAGUCAGGUGCCAAGCAGUCCUAAUGGGCUCCCAGACUGGGAUCACUUAUGCUUUUGGGUUUCUCCCUCCUUUGUUUAGUUGAAAAGCACUUUCCGAGUUCUCGCGUCUCUUUCCUCUCUGUCCAGGAGGAACUUAUGUAUUUACAGCUAGCUGUACAUACCCAUUUUCUGUAUCAACAAAAAAAAGUGCUCCUUUGCUCAGUAUGAAUAUUUUGUUUUGAGUUUACUUUGAAGAGCAUUACUACAUUGUAGAUUUUGAGAAAUUUGAAAUAAAGUUUGGCAUUUGCACAUUGCAUUUGCUCACCGAACGGAGGUGUUUGUGCCACUUUGAGAUGUUUGGAGAACCACACUCUUUGAGAAGAGAUGCUAUGGAUUAUAAAGGGCCAGAUCGAAGCUGACGCCUCUAGCUAAUUUAUUGUUUCCAGUUUUCCCGGUGCGAGACUGAGGACGUACCAUUUUGACGACUUUUAUUAGACAAGACAACACAGCAAUAGGAACAGGAGGUAGGGGGAUUUUGUUUUCUGUAUUGGUUGAAUUAAGUUGUGGUUGGCUCUGUUGGUCAUCACCUCAACAUUUGGGAUGUACAGAAUGAAUUAAUAAAAAUGUUGAUCAAUGUGAUGACAAAGCAGUAUCUUCCUUGGAUGAAAUGGCGCCGUCACUGUCAUGGACAGUAAAAAUGAUAGACCAAUGUAAAAUGGCAAUGGACAAAAAUAAUUAAAUGAGGAUUAUUCAGUCAUUAUUAUUAAUGUUUAAUGUACUUUUACAUUUAAGUACAAGAUAAAAAGCAAAUUAUCUUGUUAGCGGGUUUUCUGACAAUAUAGUUCAUGCACUAUUUGAGUACGCAAGAAAAUGGCCAACAUAAAAGUAGGAAAAAGGUUUUGAAAUUACAUGCUUCAUUGAGCAACUUUAUUAGUGUUUUUUAUCAGAAGUUUAUGAUUAUUUUUGGAAUAAAAUAAAAAUUCUAACUGUGGCACUUCAGCACUGAAAUCUCACAAUAAAAGGAAGCUUUAAUACUGAAACACCCUGAGGGUCGUCAGACAUUGUUCACUGCACAGUAUAAAGAGCAAGAUAUCUGUAUCUACACAGACUUCAUGGUGAGCUGAAAGUAAUGGUGAGUUUCAGCUGACUUCCUGUUGUUUCAUUUUAAACACUUAUGCUUUGGUAAUUCAACACUCCUUGCACACACAAAUAAAUUAUUUACACAGCACUAAGCUUGGAGUAAAAGAUGAAAAGUGGUUAGCUGAAUACUCACAAGUGUCGAUUAGUCAACUGGGUCAGAAGUCCACCCAAAAGACCUAAUUCCUAACUCCAAUAUGAAUGGAGGGUGUGUCGGUGAAGUCAGGAUUAAGUAAAAUAUGUACAAUUUAAAAAAUCCAGCAGUUCUAACCGCUAACACCCUUGUUUAAUGUAUGGCACUCUGAAUACCGAACACAAGUGCAUCAACAGUUAAAACACCCCACUUAUCCAACAUGUAAAAUAUAUUUGAUUAAAUUUAUUAAUUAUUAUUAAAGAUAUCAAUUAUCAAUUAAAUUUCCGCAUUUGUUGAUAGGCAGAGCAACCUGUACAUCAAAAUGUACAACUUGCAACCAGGGAAAAAUUUAGAAAUGUAUUCAGUUAUCACAAAUAUUUUUGUCUAACCUUAAUUUUGAGGUUCAACUAUCUUAAAAAAAAAAAGUACCAAACCACAGCAUGUGUCAAAAAGUAAUCCAAGGAUGUGCCACGAUCAAAGUUCAAAAGCCAAAAGAAUAGAAUAUUCAAAAAUGACCAUGAAAUGUAUAAUACCAAACCUAGAUGCAGGACUCAGAUGCCCACUUCAAACUAACUCAAAAACAGUUAAAAACAGACUUCUUGCCAAGUUGCUCCAACUAAAAAGAAGUUGCACCUUCUUUCUACUGAAAACGAGGGUGGGGAGUCUGGGGACACACCCCUUCACCAGGCCUGUGUAUACUUAAUUAUUCAUCUGGGAGGAUCCAAGGAGUACUGCUUUCUUACCUUUUAUAUAUAUAUAUAUAUAUAUAUAGAUAUAUAUAGAUAUAUAUAUAUAUUAUUGGUUCUGGUCUAUUUACAAUACAACGUAUGUUGUUACAGUUAAUGAUCUUCUCCUAGGAAGCAUUCUGGUGACAUUAGAUAUUAAUAUUUUGAGAUCUUUUUGGGAGGGACGGCUUUGGCUAUUAUGGACGUGCUUUUAAGCUACUAUGUGGAGACACUAGAUGAUCAGACAGUUAAACCAAGUUGCAAAAUCAUCAUAGACACCCUGACCUCUGCUUUAUUCUGGUAUGACCUGACCAGAAUUUUCAAUAUUGUGCUUGUAGAUGUAUUAACCAAGUUGCAGAAUUAAAUGAGUACACACACACACACACUCUUUCUAUGUCUUACCUCAGCAUGUCUUAUCAUGCUGGCUGAGCACUUUGAAGCUUCCAAGGGCAGAGUACAGGCCCAAAUGUGAAUUAGAUGUCUGACAGGUAGAAUGUCUGCUCUCAGUUUAAAAAAAAGAAAAAUAAAUUAAAAACUGCCCCUUGCUUAAGUUCUUAAUGCUGAAAGUGAAGAAAAUGUAAUACUGUGAAAAUGUGAUUCAGUAUGUCUUAUUUUAUUAUUUUGAGUAGGAAAUGCUACAAUGCUCCGUUGGCACAUUAGAACCUCUUAAUAAAAACAGACUUAGCUUUACUAGCCUGUUAUUCCCUUUAUACUCCCUAAAAAAUUUAAUGCACACUAUUUCCAAGAUGAAGUACUCUAUAAAUUUUUUAAAAUUGUUUUAUUGUACUGUAGGCAAGCAGGGGGGCUGUGGAGCCACUGAUAACCUGUAAACUGCUGUGCCUAUCCGUGAGGGUGCUCAGUUGUUACCCUGUUGUCAUUGGGAUUGGAGAAAAUCAGGGAAAUGGGAAAUUGGAAGGGCCUGCAUCUCUGGCGUGUUGGAGAAUGGAAAUUUGUUUAUACUUAGGACACACACCAUGGGCUCAUUCAAAUGGCUUAUUUUUCUGUCCUUGUCUUCUCAGUCCUCACCUGACCUUGAAACCGAUAAAAGUCCACUAUUUCAAAGGACAUUCCAACUUGUUAAAUGCUCCUUGAAGGAGCUAUGAGCAAGUAGGCUCCUCCUGAAGGAUGCUUGAGUAAGGAAACUGAAGUGCAUUCAUUCUUUAAAGUGCAGGCAUAGGCAUUUCCAAAAUAUGUGUUCUCAAAUGCAUUAUGAUUGGUCAGUGGAUCAAUGAUGUCACAUUCCAAAAAUAUGUUAGAGCUUUCAAUAUGUGAUAUUAUCAAAAAUGCUUAGAAUAACACCCAUAUAUGGUUGCACUGUUCUUCCAAGAAUGCAAUCUGAGAUUUAAUUCUGGGAUACUUCCAAGAUCCGUUGCCAUGUAUUUUGCUUGGAAGGAUGAAACAUCUUUAGAAUACUUCCAAGCUUGCAUAUCCAAUCAAAAAAUUGCAUUGCUAUCCCUAACCCUAAUUCUAAUUCUAACCGUAAAUCCUGUUUUUACCCCUCAUCUUAAAUAUUAGAUUUUUCUAUUAAUAUGAAUCACAAACAAAAUAAAAUCAGUUCAAUGAAAUUCAUACAAGGCAAUGUGUUUGAAGGAAUUCAUGACAAUUGUACUUCCCUGAAAAAAAUGUCAAAAUAGAUAAGGAUAUUGUUCUAUGUCUCAAAAGUGAAAUUAUGUGACUCAUUCAAAAUCAUAGAAUAACCCUAGCACUAACUCUGACCGUACCACGUAAGUAUAGGCUUUAUUUAGCCUCAACCAACGGUUGUGAUAGAAUUACACAAAAACACACAUUCUUCAUAAUGUUAACUCUUCCUACAAAAGUUUAAGCCAGUCAGGGAAGGAUUACAUUAUAGCAAUGCAAGCACCCAUCAAAGAAACAAAGGAACACUAAUUAUCUUGGAUGACCACUACAAAGGGAUAGCAGGUUGAGAUCAAGGAACAUUGGCAUUUUCCAUACCAUGUAACAUUUGGAAUGCUCGUUUUAGGUGAUAUGCAAAAUUCUAGGUAAGGAUGUUUGUAUGUUUGGCUGUCAUGUGCUUGUACUGAUGCGGAUGUAGUUGGGUGCAUGAAUUUUUCUUUAACAUGAAUAGCCAUUAGUGCGGUGAUUGUCUAUGAAGAUGUUGAGAAGGCGACGUGGACCAUCUUAGGUAAGUGUCGCAUGGACUGGGAAAGAUAUAUUUCUCCCUAUAACUGUCGAUGGUACCACAGUGACUGCCUCUCAAUCUGCUAAGAGCCUGGGGGUGGUCCUAGGAGACCAGCUGGACUUCCAGGAGCACAUCACGGUCCUGCGGAUUCCUCCGGUACAUCAGGAGGAUUGGACAAUGCCUGACCUCGUACUCCACCCAGCUCCUUGUCCAGGUCCAGGACAUGGUAAUUUCCCGCCUUGAUUUCCUGCAACUCUCUCCUUGCCUGCCAGCCUGUGCGACACAGCCGCUACAGCUGAUUCAGAAUGCUGCCCCCCAAAUUGUCUUCAACCUUCCUGAGUUCUCACGUCAUUCCCCUGCUGAGGUCACUCCACUGGCUACCAGUCGCUGCCAGGAUCAUGUUCAAGGUCCUGACCCUGGCCUGUCAACUAUGAUGUGUUUUGUUUUGAUCUUGUUUUCUUUAUCCUUCUAUGAUAUAACACUAUUAAUAACCUAUUUUAACCAUAUUGUCAUUCAUCUAAUGUGUAUUCUAUUACCUUUGGUUUUGUAAAAAUAAAAUCUUUUAUUUUUGACAAUUGUUUUGUCAUACUUAACUGGAAAAGUGUGAGAGGAACAGGAAGGCCCUCACAUUGAAUGAGUAAUAAUAUGGUUAUUCUUCAUACACAUUAUCGAAGUCUCUUACAGUUACAGCCUACCUUCAGUAACAUUUCACUACAGAUUGCCAUGGGUUGGACUGACAAGCACUACGAACAUAAAUGUGCAUAACAUAACCACAUCUCCUGCAGAAGAGCUUGAAUUGGUUUAAAAUAAUGGUUAGCUUUUUAAGACUCAUCUGAAUGUGUUUGGAUAAGACCAAGUGAAAUAGGGCAGUAGGCUCUGUGUAGGCCUUCAUAACAGAAAAAUUACAUAGGAUGACUCCUAGGGCUUGAAAUUAGGUUUACGAUUAGAAUUAGCAUCAGGAAUGUGGCAAAUGUUAGGGUUCAGGCAAAACAGUUAUGUUUAGGAGUUAGGGAAAGAGUACAAGGAUUGGUGUUUAAUUUUGGAUGAUGCAAUCUUUUUCCUUUUGAGUCAUAACACUAUAGUAUUUUGAUAUAUUGGAAAAUACAUUUCCAUAACUUCAAACACACUUCCUUGAAUUUAUUUUUCAAUACAUGAUAUUUAGAUAGUUUUUCAAAUGGAAACAUCUGAUUAUUAUGUAACUACUAAGGCUAGAAAUAAUUUUUUGGUUUUGUAUGAAGAUUUGGGUUAAUUUUGGGAAAACAGUAAGUGUUAGGAUUGAGGCAAGAUUUUAGUUAUGUUUUGGAGCAAGAGAAAGGGUAAAGGCAAGGUUUGAUUUAUUUUCUGCCCCUGGGUGUGCCCACAAUAUGUCAGAAGUUAAAUUCAAGUUUUAAAUUUAAGUUUCCUUUUAGCAAGGCUAAUUUAGAGGUGUUUAGGAGAGCUUUAGCUGGUUUAACUGUUGUUUGGCUAUUUUCCCAUCCAUUUUAGUUGCUUUUAAUCCUUCUGUGGUCUCUAAGUUUGCAUAUAGGAUCUCCAGAUUGAUUGUGACCAAGUUACCGAAUCCAGUAGCUGUCUCUACCUGUAGGAAAUUAUAUGUAUCCUUGAUGUAGCGCUGGUGUUGGUUUGAUAGGGGGCUGAUGAAAUACUCAAUGUAUUCUCUGGUUCUGUGGUAUUCACUGUUGCAGUUGGAAACACAAUGGAUCCCCCUGCCUGGACCUCAUAUGGGUCACUCAAUGUUUCUGGUGGUUUGACCACAAGCCGCACACACAGAGCAGAGGUGGAGGAGACCCAAUCAUAUGCCUGCGCAGAGAGCAAGUCACAGUCUCCAGGACAGCCAACAAGGUUGCUUUGAGCAAUGAACAGCACUGUCCAUGGUGACUGAAUCCCUUCCAUAUAUCCCUCGGGUGGUGCGAAGCGGAUUCCAAAGGUCCUGUGGAGCUGGCAGCCCCAGUCAUCGCUGGCAUGGGUCAGAUUCUAUCUGAGAUUGUGUAGCAUGGACAUUUUGUGUCCAAUAAGGCCACCAAACUCUGCUAGACUUCUCUUCAGGUGGGUUACCGUUGCUUCUAGUGAGGUCAGAGCAGAACUUUCCGUUACCAUUUACAGCCACAUGACACAUCAAGUGUUAAAGCAGUAUUAUGACAGUUGACGGUUCAAUCUAGGUUAUUUUUCGCAUUUGCACAUUGCAUUUGUUAACCAAAGGAGGUGUUUGUGCCACUUUGAGAUAUCUGAGAAUGACACUUUGAAAAGAGAUGCUAUGAAUAUAAAAGACCAGAUAAAGUUGACACCUCUGUAGCUAAUUUAUAAUUUCCAGCUUUCUCGAUGGAAGACUGAAGAUGUACCACUUUAUUUUAUUAAAUAAGACAACACAGCUAUAGGGAAAGGAGAUUGGCAAAUUUUGUUUUCUGUAUUGGUGGAAUUCAGUUGUUUUUGGCUCUGCUUGCCAACAUUUGGGAUGUACAGAAUUAAUAAUAAUGUUGAUUAGUGUGACAGGAAAGUUCCCUGGAAAAAAACCUCCUCAUAAACAAUAAAAGAUGACCAUUGGAAAACCCAUGUAGAAUGGCAAUGGACAAAAAAAA